GGAGGAAGCUCAUCAAUGGGGUCAUAAGCUGAGUGCAUCACAGUCUGUAUCAUCUUCCUUGGGAAGUCGGAGACUAAGGCCAUCUAUGGCCCUAACAGAGCCACGUCUGAGCCAAGGGGAAGUCAGUUUCCAGUAGAAAAUUAGAGGGGCUGGGGACUUAGCUCCGUGGCACAGUGCCUGCCUGGCAAGCGCAAGGUCAUGAGUUCGAUCCCCGUACCAGAAAAAAAAAAAAAAAAUUAGAGAAAACUACAGCAACAUAAAAAUGAUAAUCACUCC
Molecule: RNase P RNA, 276 nt
Filed under: Chinchilla lanigera (long-tailed chinchilla)
Lineage: Eukaryota; Metazoa; Chordata; Mammalia; Rodentia; Chinchillidae
Description: Nuclear RNase P (ENSCLAG00000021379.1)
Rfam family: Nuclear RNase P
About the family: Ribonuclease P (RNase P) is a ubiquitous endoribonuclease, found in archaea, bacteria and eukarya as well as chloroplasts and mitochondria.
Source: Rfam by way of RNAcentral